AACUUUAAUAAAUUAUUGGGCAAUUCUAAACAUUCAUCCUUCCCAACACAUACCUAUAUGCAGUGACUCUCUCUCUCUCUUCUCUCUCUCUCUCUCUCUCGCUUUGUCUCCAUAGGCGUCGAGUACAGGAGCAUCACCGCCAUCGCACCAACGUCAAUCCACAAUUGGAGCAUUACCCCAGAGAAGAUUCCAAUAUCUACUAUGAAACAACUAAACAUUGGGUAGCGUUGGUAAAAGCAAUCUGGAAAUCAUUUCCUGAGAUGAUUUUUGGCGUGCAAUUGUAGAUACAGUUUUUUUUAUUUGGGGUCUAUAGAGGACAUUGUUUUUUGUCUAUGGAUUACUAUUGUUCGUACAAAUACUUAUUGGACCGGUACAAAUUACUUUUGGCAUGGUAUAGAUUAUCCUUUUGGCAUGAUAUUGUGGAUAUUACUUUUUUGUGUAUAAAAGACAUGGUUUUUGUAUAAUCCUCUUUUUUGUAUGGAAUUACAUUUUUUAGGUUGGAUUUUA
Camellia sinensis is the source of this 507-nucleotide non-coding RNA. The record is from RefSeq and is a predicted model, not a curated record. Lineage: Eukaryota; Viridiplantae; Streptophyta; Magnoliopsida; Ericales; Theaceae.